AGCGCUUGUAACGCCGACAGAGAGGGUGGUGCCGACGAGAGUUAAAGCAUAGUAUCUGUUGUCAGCUUACUAUCUGAUUGCGGUUCUAUUUGGAUCCAAGGAACCAAACCUAUUUUUGCAAGUUGACGGAGUGUUUGAAGCCUGCUUUACCUCCGCGGCGGGUCGGCCCGUUAUUGCACUACUGGGAGCAGCCCACGUUUC
Small nuclear RNA from Dermacentor andersoni, 201 nucleotides. RefSeq annotates it as U2 spliceosomal RNA. Lineage: Eukaryota; Metazoa; Arthropoda; Arachnida; Ixodida; Ixodidae. The record is from RefSeq and is a predicted model, not a curated record.